This is a long non-coding RNA of Alosa sapidissima (American shad), 124 nucleotides long. RefSeq lists it as uncharacterized. The transcript is spliced from 3 exons. Lineage: Eukaryota; Metazoa; Chordata; Actinopteri; Clupeiformes; Clupeidae. The record is from RefSeq and is a predicted model, not a curated record.
AAAAGCACAUGGGCCUACGCGUUGCGGCCAUAUUGGCCUUCAUCAGGGCAUAGAAACAGGAAGUACAACAAAGCUUAAAAUGGACACCCUUAGGUGUUCAGUGGGUGGAGCGUUCCCAACAUUA